UCGAGCGGACCGACGGGAGCUUGCUCCCUUAGGUCAGCGGCGGACGGGUGAGUAACACGUGGGUAACCUGCCUGUAAGACUGGGAUAACUCCGGGAAACCGGGGCUAAUACCGGAUGCUUGAUUGAACCGCAGGUUCAAUUAUAAAAGGUGGCUUUUAGCUACCACUUACAGAUGGACCCGCGGCGCAUAGCUAGUUGGUGAGGUAACGGCUCACCAAGGCGACCAUUCGUAGCCCACCUGAGAGGGUGAUCGGCCACACUGGGACUGAAACACGGCCCAGACUCCUACGGGAGGCAGCAGUAGGGAAUCUUCCGCAAUGGACGAAAGUCUGACGGAACAACGCCCCGUGAGUGAUGAAGGUUUUCGGAUCGUAAAACUCUUUUGUUAGGGAAGAACAAGUACCGUUCGAAUAGGGCGGUACCUUGACGGUACCUAACCAGAAAGCCACGGCUAACUACCUGCCA
RNAcentral lists this ribosomal RNA (465 nucleotides) under Bacillus sp. (in: firmicutes). Its description in RNAcentral is "bacterial SSU rRNA". It matches the Rfam family "Bacterial small subunit ribosomal RNA", at positions 62 to 510 of the family's 1533-position model. Lineage: Bacteria; Bacillati; Bacillota; Bacilli; Caryophanales; Bacillaceae. The record is from RNAcentral.